GCCUGAUUAGCUCAGUCGGUAGAGCAUGAGACUUUUAAUCUCAGGGUCAUGGGUUCGAGCCCCAUAUCAGGCU
Molecule: transfer RNA, 73 nt
Filed under: Neoconidiobolus thromboides FSU 785
Lineage: Eukaryota; Fungi; Entomophthoromycota; Entomophthoromycetes; Entomophthorales; Neoconidiobolaceae
Description: tRNA-Lys
Rfam family: tRNA
About the family: Transfer RNA (tRNA) molecules are approximately 80 nucleotides in length. Their secondary structure includes four short double-helical elements and three loops (D, anti-codon, and T loops).
Source: RNAcentral